GGAAGAAGUGAAGAGAAAUAUAGAACUCUUGGGUCAUAUAACCUAAUGAUAUAUUUACACAUUCUUUCUAAAUUGAAGCUACAGUGUAAUGUUUAUCAAAAUUCUAACAGCAUAGAAAAGGGUCAAAGCAGUGAAAAGUGAAACUAUGUGUGAUGGUUAAUAUUGAGUGUCAGCUUGAUUGGAUUAAAGGAUGCAAAGUAUUAUUCCUGGGUAUGUCUGUGAGGGUGUUGCCAAAGAGAAACAUUUGCGUCAUUGGACUGGGAGAGGCAAACCCACCCUCAAGCUGGGUGGGCACAAUCUAAUCAGCUGCCAGUGUGACCAGAAUAAAAGCAGGCAGAAGAACGUGAAAAGACUAGCCUGGUUUAGUCUCCGGCCUACAUCUUUCUACUUUGCUUAAUGCUUCCUGCCCUUGAACAUCAGACUCCAAGUUUUUCAGCUUUGGGAUUCUUGAGCCUUCAACCACAGACUGAAGGCUGCACUGUCGGCUUCCCUGCUUUGAGGUUUUGGGACUCAGACUGGCUUCCUUGCUCCUCAGCUUGCAGACAGCCUAUUGUGGGACCUCACCAUGUGAUUGUCUUCAGGAGGUUGCUUGAAAGAGGAAGGAGUUGGGAUGGAGAGCAGAACCUUGCAUGGGCCUCACUCAGACCUAAUGAAAUAUAAUGAGAUAACUUUUUACCAGGGUCACCUGGAGACAGGCAAGUUUUCUCUUCCAUCAUAGCUGUGGUAUUCAUAAUGACAUGAGACUAGAGCUGGCUGGAGUAUAAUGAAAUCAACAGAGGGAAAGAAGUUAAUCAUUUGACCUCCUAGGCCAGGCUCUGCUUUAAAAAAUCAAAUACUAUUCCUGGGAAUUUUUAGAUUUUUUAUUCAAUAAUGUUUUUAAAUCAACUGAUUGGGUAUUCUGUUACAGUCAAAAACAGUUCUAUUCAUCCAACUAUUUAAAAGUGAAGGCCGGGCGCGGUGGCUCAAGCCUGUAAUCCCAGCACUUUGGGAGGCCGAGACGGGCGGAUCACGAGGUCAGGAGAUCGAGACCAUCCUGGCGAACACGGUGAAACCCCGUCUCUACUAAAAAAUAUAAAAAAAAAAAACUAGCCGGGCGAGGUGGCGGGCGACUGUAGCCCCAGCUACUCGGGAGGCUGAGGCAGGAGAAUGGCGUGAACCCGGGAGGCGGAGCUUGCAGUGAGCCGAGAUCGCGCCACUGCACUCCAGCCUGGGCGACAGAGCCGAGACUCCGUCUCAAAAAAAAAAAAAAAAAAAAAAGUGAAUAGUAGUCCUCCUUUUUCCCUGGUUUUACUUUCCACAGUUCUGGUCAACAGUGGUCUGAAAAUAGUUUCAGUGGUCUGAAAAAGAGUACAUUACAAUUAGAUAUUGAGAGAGAGGGAGACAACAUUCACAUAAGUUUCAUUAUAGUAUAUGGUUAUAAUUGUUCUAUUUUAUUAUUAGCAAUUGAAAAUCUCAUAUUAUGCCUAAUUUAUAAAUUAAACUUUAUCAAAAAAUUUGAUGUAUAGG
RNAcentral lists this long non-coding RNA (1506 nucleotides) under Papio anubis (olive baboon). RNAcentral describes it as "lncRNA (ENSPANG00000051058.1)". The record is from RNAcentral. Lineage: Eukaryota; Metazoa; Chordata; Mammalia; Primates; Cercopithecidae.